UUUGGCACUUUUUAGAGUGAA
RNAcentral lists this microRNA (21 nucleotides) under Ateles geoffroyi (black-handed spider monkey). The record is from RNAcentral. Lineage: Eukaryota; Metazoa; Chordata; Mammalia; Primates; Atelidae.